Asparagus officinalis (garden asparagus) is the source of this 410-nucleotide long non-coding RNA. RefSeq lists it as uncharacterized. The transcript is spliced from 3 exons. The record is from RefSeq and is a predicted model, not a curated record. Lineage: Eukaryota; Viridiplantae; Streptophyta; Magnoliopsida; Asparagales; Asparagaceae.
GUGAUAGUGGGUGCAGGUAUCUGUGGCCUUGCUACUGCCCUUGGUCUUGACAGAAAAGGAAUCAAAAGUCUUGUUUUGGAGAAAUCUCAUGCGUUAAGGGACACGGGUGCGGCGAUUUCAAUUUACCUUAAUGGUUGGCAUGCGCUCGACCACCUUGGUGUAGGAGUGGAGCUCCGCAAAAAAUCUAUCCUCAUAACAGAGACACAUGAUGUGUGGCUUAACAAGGAUGGGCUGAAGGUAACACCGAUCAGGUACUUUUAACAGAUUAUUGUAAAAGGAAAAAAAAAAAAAAAAUUCUUUACAUGGGAUUGUUUAAUUUGUGACGCACAUGAUUGCUUACUUUGACUGCAUUAAGUUUUUCGUAGCCUCAGGUAUGUAUGAAAUGUCUAUGUAGGGAUAUUCAUAAGUGA